Molecule: ribosomal RNA, 643 nt
Filed under: uncultured bacterium
Lineage: Bacteria
Description: bacterial SSU rRNA
Rfam family: Bacterial small subunit ribosomal RNA
Source: RNAcentral
CGUGCCUAACACAUGCAAGUCGAGCGGAGCUGGAAGAAGCUUCAGAGAUGGAGCGGGAGCCGGCUUAGCGGCGAACGGGUGAGUAACACGUGGGCAAUCUGCCCUCUGGAGCGGGAUAACAGACCGAAAGGCCUGCUAAUACCGCAUGAGGCCUAGGAGUCGCAUGGCAUUUAGGUCAAAGGGGAAACCCGCCGGAGGAGGAGCCCGCGUCCCAUUAGCUAGUUGGCGGUGUAACGGACCACCAAGGCGAUGAUGGGUAGCCGGCCUGAGAGGGUGAACGGCCACAUUGGGACUGAGACACGGCCCAGACUCCUACGGGGGGCAGCAGUGAGGGAUUUUCGGCAAUGGGCGAAAGCCUGACCGAGCGACGCCGCGUGAGCGAAGAAGGCCUUCGGGUCGUAAAGCUCUGUCUAGGGGGACGAGCAAGGACGGUACCCCUGGAGGAAGCCACGGCUAACUACGUGCCAGCAGCCGCGGUAAUACGUAGGUGGCGAGCGUUGUCCGGAAUUACUGGGCGUAAAGGGCGCGCAGGCGGCGCGUUAAGUCCGGGGUGAAAUCCCACGGCUCAACUGUGGGGGGACCCUGGAUACUGGCGUGCUGGAGUGCGGGAGAGGGAAGCGGAAUUCCACGUGUAACGGUGAAA